UACGUAGGUCCCGAGCGUUGUCCGGAUUUAUUGGGCGUAAAGCGAGCGCAGGUGGUUUAUUAAGUCUGGUGUAAAAGGCAGUGGCUCAACCAUUGUAUGCAUUGGAAACUGGUAGACUUGAGUGCAGGAGAGGAGAGUGGAAUUCCAUGUGUAGCGGUGAAAUGCGUAGAUAUAUGGAGGAACACCGGUGGCGAAAGCGGCUCUCUGGCCUGUAACUGACACUGAAACUCGAAAGCGUGGGGAGCAAACAGG
Molecule: ribosomal RNA, 252 nt
Filed under: uncultured bacterium
Lineage: Bacteria
Description: partial 16S ribosomal RNA
Rfam family: Bacterial small subunit ribosomal RNA
Source: RNAcentral